RNAcentral lists this ribosomal RNA (643 nucleotides) under uncultured bacterium. RNAcentral's name for it is "bacterial SSU rRNA". It matches the Rfam family "Bacterial small subunit ribosomal RNA", at positions 232 to 885 of the family's 1533-position model. The record is from RNAcentral.
CGCGGCCUAUCAGCUUGUUGGUGGGGUAGUGGCCUACCAAGGCGACGACGGGUAGCCGGCCUGAGAGGGUGACCGGCCACACUGGGACUGAGACACGGCCCAGACUCCUACGGGAGGCAGCAGUGGGGAAUAUUGCGCAAUGGGCGGAAGCCUGACGCAGCGACGCCGCGUGGGGGAUGACGGCCUUCGGGUUGUAAACCUCUUUCAGCAGGGACGAAGCGAAAGUGACGGUACCUGCAGAAGAAGCACCGGCCAACUACGUGCCAGCAGCCGCGGUAAUACGUAGGGUGCAAGCGUUGUCCGGAAUUAUUGGGCGUAAAGAGCUCGUAGGCGGUUUGUUGCGUCGGCUGUGAAAUCCCGAGGCUCAACCUCGGGUCUGCAGCCGAUACGAGCAAACUAGAGUGUUGCAGGGGAGACUGGAAUUCCUGGUGUAGCGGUGAAAUGCGCAGAUAUCAGGAGGAACACCGGUGGCAAAGGCGGGUCUCUGGGCAACAACUGACGCUGAGGAGCGAAAGCGUGGGGAGCGAACAGGAUUAGAUACCCUGGUAGUCCACGCCGUAAACGUUGGGCGCUAGGUGUGGGGCUCAUUCCACGAGUUCCGUGCCGCAGCUAACGCAUUAAGCGCCCCGCCUGGGGAGUACGG